Molecule: non-coding RNA, 134 nt
Filed under: Emiliania huxleyi
Lineage: Eukaryota; Haptophyta; Isochrysidales; Noelaerhabdaceae
Source: RNAcentral
UGCGCUUCGAGCGAGGUCAACGCCGUGGCCAAGUUCGACCGGGACACGCUCGAGCCUCGCGGGGUGGUCAAGCCCUUCGGCCCCGUCAAGGUGGGGGGCGCGGAGCCCGCCCUCGUCGUCACUCCGGCGCACUU